AUUGAACGCUGGCGGUAUGCUUAACACAUGCAAGUCGAACGGUAACAGGCCUUCGGGCGCUGACGAGUGGCGGACGGGUGAGUAACGCGUAGGAAUCUGCCUCAUAGUGGGGGACAACGUGGGGAAACUCACGCUAAUACCGCAUACGCCCUACGGGGGAAAGCGGGGGAUCUUCGGACCUCGCGCUAUGAGAUGAGCCUGCGUUAGAUUAGCUAGUUGGUAGGGUAAAGGCCUACCAAGGCGACGAUCAGUAGCCGACCUGAGAGGGUGAUCGGCCACAUUGGAACUGAGACACGGUCCAAACUCCUACGGGAGGCUG
Molecule: ribosomal RNA, 319 nt
Filed under: uncultured Pseudomonadota bacterium
Lineage: Bacteria; Pseudomonadati; Pseudomonadota
Description: bacterial SSU rRNA
Rfam family: Bacterial small subunit ribosomal RNA
Source: RNAcentral